RNAcentral lists this ribosomal RNA (253 nucleotides) under uncultured bacterium. RNAcentral's name for it is "partial 16S ribosomal RNA". It matches the Rfam family "Bacterial small subunit ribosomal RNA", at positions 524 to 776 of the family's 1533-position model. The record is from RNAcentral.
UACAGAGGGGGCAAGCGUUGUUCGGAAUUACUGGGCGUAAAGGGCGCGUAGGCGGCCUGCUAAGUCGAACGUGAAAUCCCCGGGCUCAACCCGGGAACUGCGUCCGAUACUGGCAGGCUUGAAUCCGGGAGAGGGAUGUGGAAUUCCAGGUGUAGCGGUGAAAUGCGUAGAUAUCUGGAGGAACACCGGUGGCGAAGGCGGCUCUCUGGGACGGUACUGACGCUGAGACGCGAAAGCGUGGGGAGCGAACAGG